UAGGAAAUAGUGUAGUGGAAGCACGGGGAGUUUUGAUCUCCUUAGCAUGGGUUCAAAUCCCCUUUUCCUAA
This 71-nucleotide transfer RNA is filed under the name Gymnothorax meleagris (turkey moray). RNAcentral's name for it is "tRNA-Gln". It matches the Rfam family "tRNA". From Rfam's summary of the family: Transfer RNA (tRNA) molecules are approximately 80 nucleotides in length. RNAcentral also lists the same sequence under 1 other name. Lineage: Eukaryota; Metazoa; Chordata; Actinopteri; Anguilliformes; Muraenidae. The record is from RNAcentral.